AGCAGGCGCAAGUGUUUGACUUGGUGAUCUGUCAGCAGAAUGUGUCCGUCCAGCCUGUGCUCCUGCUUCAAUUGAUUGGCCAAUAACGGCAGCACUCAUGUGAUUGAUUGGUGAAAUGGCUAAUUGCGGGGCUGGCAGGCAAGACUGGAUGGGCAAUGACAGCAGCAGAGUGGAGCGGGACGAGGAGAGAAAUCUUGAAAACACAGAGGAUAAGUGCAACUGAUUGCAAAAAUGGCAGUGCUAGUGUGAGCUGACUCAUAACACAUUUGGCAUACCAUUUUAAUGUCAGCUGCAGAAGCAGAAAAUAUCCACUGCGGAAGUGAUCGUUUAAAGAUCUAUAGAACGCACAAAAGAGUACUACAAGUAAAAAGGCAAAAGCCUGCCUUAAGGAAGUUGAAGUUGGAGAAAUAGUUGUUGUUGGCAUCAUCUGUCUCAAAAGACAAUGGAAAGAGCCUGGGUAUGAAAGUAUGAAAACUCUGAGUUACCUAGGCAUCAAAGUUUCCCUCUUGGUUUAGCCAGUGUGAUUCAAAGGAGAGUAAAUACGACAUUUGGCACUGGGUUGGCUGUAGGAUCUGCCAAAAGGAUGAUCUGUGGUCUAUCUAACUGUCUUAGUGCCUCCACUCCAAAUUUUCUGUCAGUAUUUACCUGCUCAACCACUGAUUUCCCCAAGAUGCUCAUAAGGCAGUGAGGCUGUUUUACCCAUAACUAGGAAGAUCCAAUGAGCUUUUAUGGCAGAGUGGGAAUUUGAAGCAAGAGACUCCUGGGUUCUAACCUAGUGAUCUUUACUAUUGUAUCAUUAGUGGGAUACAAAAUCUUUUUGUACUUAAGACUGGUUGCUCAGACUUUUUAGAAUGACAUCAAGCAAUGUAUGUNGAUAGUUAGUGCAAAGUAUUGAUGUUGACUUGGCA
This 908-nucleotide long non-coding RNA is filed under the name Salvator merianae (Argentine black and white tegu). RNAcentral describes it as "lncRNA (ENSSMRG00000020685.1)". Lineage: Eukaryota; Metazoa; Chordata; Lepidosauria; Squamata; Teiidae. The record is from RNAcentral.